CCUACGGGAGGCAGCAGUGGGGGAUAUUGCACAAUGGGGGAAACCCUGAUGCAGCGACGCCGCGUGGGUGAAGAAGCGCCUCGGCGCGUAAAGCUCUGUCAGCAGGGAAGAAAAUGACGGUACCUGAAGAAGAAGCUCCGGCUAACUACGUGCCAGCAGCCGCGGUAAUACGUAGGGGGCAAGCGUUAUCCGGAUUUACUGGGGGUAAAGGGGGCGCAGACGGCGUUGGAAGCCAGGAGUGAAAGCCCGGGGCCCAACCCCGGGACUGCGCUUGGAACUGCGUGGCUAGAGUGCAGGAGGGGCAGGCGGAAUUCCUGGUGUAGCGGUGAAAUGCGUAGAUAUCAGGAGGAACACCGGUGGCGAAGGCGGCCUGCUGGACUGCAACUGACGUUGAGGCCCGAAAGCGUGGGGAGCAAACAGGAUUAGAUACCCUGGUAGUC
This 440-nucleotide ribosomal RNA is filed under the name uncultured bacterium. RNAcentral describes it as "partial 16S ribosomal RNA". It matches the Rfam family "Bacterial small subunit ribosomal RNA", at positions 338 to 795 of the family's 1533-position model. The record is from RNAcentral.